This 209-nucleotide long non-coding RNA is filed under the name Panax ginseng (ginseng). RNAcentral's name for it is "long non-coding RNA (PGIN_LNC001908)". Lineage: Eukaryota; Viridiplantae; Streptophyta; Magnoliopsida; Apiales; Araliaceae. The record is from RNAcentral.
CUUACAACGCCAUAUUGGGAAGGCCUACACUAACAGCUCUCCAAGCCGUGACUUCCAUUCCUCAUUUCAAGAUCAAGUUCCCCACAGCGCAUGGAGUAGGAGAGGUGGCGGGGGAUUUGGAUCUGGCCCGACGAUGUUAUCGGAACGCAGUUAUUUCUUCCGGAAUGGGGGUCAGCAAACAGAAACAAACCAUGGCAAUUGAGAUCGAG